Molecule: long non-coding RNA, 1264 nt
Organism: Macrobrachium nipponense
Lineage: Eukaryota; Metazoa; Arthropoda; Malacostraca; Decapoda; Palaemonidae
Exons: 4
Source: RefSeq, a predicted model, not a curated record
AGUUGCUUAUAAUAAGUUACAGUCAAACUCUUAUUUUUAUCAUUGAUACUGGAUCGGUUUUUUUCUAGAUUGUUGUUUAACAACGAAAAUAAUGUAACAGUAUCUCUACAAUUUAUUUUCAGUGAACUCAAUAGAAUUUGAUAGAAUGUUUUUUUUUCACUCAUGAACACAAUACAAUAAUUUUCACCAGUUUAGCUUUAUCAUAAAAUGAGCACCAUGGCCUUAAAAACAAUAAUUUGCAUAGAGCUUUCAAAGAGAAAUAUAGAUAAGCACAAGUGUGGUUUUUAUAAGCAAAAUGAUGGGCGUGAGCGUGGGAGUGUACAUUUAAAUAUCGUUUGCUGAUAAAUUAUUCAGAGUCAGCACAGGAUCCUUACCACUUCCUGUAGGUGGUGGAAGACGGCGAAUGGGGGUGGGCGCACUUCGGCAUCAGAUCCGCUAGGAGUUCGGGUCUUCUCUACGCUCUACGAUAUGCAACGCAGAGGCUUCAACUUCCUGGUUCAAGUGACAGACAGAAAAAUUAGGGACCCGGAGGCUGGGUCGACCCACACCAUUUGGACUCUGCCUGGGUCAAAGUUCGCCUUUGUGACUUGGAUGAUAACCCACCAAAGUUCAUCCGCCAACACGUCCUCGUCACAGUCGGGGAGGACACCAAACCAGGGACGGUUUUAGCUGCUCUGCCUGCCCACGAUCCUGAUGCGGCCAACCAUCCAAAGGCAGGAGGAAGCCAGCAACCAAGAUGAUGGACAAGGGGACGUGGGAGAGUAGAUCUUAUAUAAGGUAGCAAAGGGGUGGCACCUAUACCAUUUUAAUUGAGGUCAGGUCACUGUCAAGGCAGCUCUAGGUGACCAGGACUCUGUCUAUUGCCCCCUCACCUUUCACACCACCAACUGUUUCACUUUGUGGUGUUGAUACAUAUCCCACCAAAAUCCCACAACUUUAAAACCUGACUCUACAUUCAAGACUCCGAUCGUCCAGAGGACAAAGAAUACGAGACCAUGGAUGUUGUGUGCAUCAUCAGUGUUCCCACAGUGCCAAGGUUGGAAGAUUGAAGAGCUGUUAUCUAUUAUUCUGUGUUCAAUGCUGCUUGCAUUAAUCCUUUCAUUCAAUCAGUUCUUUCCCAUAGAGGUCUUAACAUUCCCUGGUUUUGCAUAGUGGCACUAAUUGAUUUGUGAAUUAACGUGAACUCAGUGGCACAGAGUUAGUGCUUUAGUUCCUGCCUAUAUAUCAUCUGAUUCAUGUAAUAACAACUUAAAUUGCAGUUCCC